RNAcentral lists this ribosomal RNA (490 nucleotides) under uncultured bacterium. RNAcentral describes it as "partial 16S ribosomal RNA". It matches the Rfam family "Bacterial small subunit ribosomal RNA", at positions 30 to 507 of the family's 1533-position model. The record is from RNAcentral.
AUUGAACGCUGGCGGCAGGCCUAACACAUGCAAGUCGAACGGUAACAGGAAGAAGCUUGCUUCUUUGCUGACGAGUGGCGGACGGGUGAGUAAUGUCUGGGAAACUGCCUGAUGGAGGGGGAUAACUACUGGAAACGGUAGCUAAUACCGCAUAACGUCGCAAGACCAAAGAGGGGGACCUUCGGGCCUCUUGCCAUCGGAUGUGCCCAGAUGGGAUUAGCUAGUAGGUGGGGUAACGGCUCACCUAGGCGACGAUCCCUAGCUGGUCUGAGAGGAUGACCAGCCACACUGGAACUGAGACACGGUCCAGACUCCUACGGGAGGCAGCAGUGGGGAAUAUUGCACAAUGGGCGCAAGCCUGAUGCAGCCAUGCCGCGUGUAUGAUGAAGGCCUUCGGGUUGUAAAGUACUUUCAGCGGGGAGGAAGGGAGUAAAGUUAAUACCUUUACUCAUUGACGUUACCCGCAGAAGAAGCACCGGCUAACUCCGUG